Non-coding RNA from Potamilus streckersoni, 72 nucleotides. NCBI's taxonomy places the organism in Eukaryota, Metazoa, Mollusca, Bivalvia, Unionida, Unionidae. The record is from the annotation of a GenBank genome assembly.
GCUCCGGUUGCCAGUGGUUAGAGCGUCCGCCCCAGAUGCGGAAGGUCAUGUGUUCGAACCACGGCUGAGCCA